CUUUGGCGACGAUUGAGGGCGGGAUGGCCGUGGUUCGGUCGCUCCAAAGUGAGACUCCCCCGACCUUGGAGGCCGAAGAGGCCCGACUGUCCGGCUGCAAGGGAGAUAUGGCGGCCGAGGAUGGCGAUUUCGAUCUCAUCCUGGCCGACCUAAAAUCCGCUUGCUUCCUUCCGACGUGUCCAGAAGACCCAGAGGGGAAAGAUCCGAUGGUCGGAGAGAACGGAAGCGACGUGGCUCCAGGCUCGGACGAGGCGGCGGGUGAAGAGGGAGCGUAAGUUCUGAGGGUGACUUGGGUUAGAUCUCUUGCGAGAGAUUUGUUUUUUUUUU
This 327-nucleotide long non-coding RNA is filed under the name Brassica napus (rape). RNAcentral's name for it is "long non-coding RNA (BNAP_LNC021278)". The record is from RNAcentral. Lineage: Eukaryota; Viridiplantae; Streptophyta; Magnoliopsida; Brassicales; Brassicaceae.